UACGAAGGGGGCAAGCGUUGUUCGGAAUUAUUAGGCGUAAAGGGCGCGUAGGCGGUGCGGUAAGUCACCUGUGAAAUCUCCUGGCUCAACUGGGAGCUUGCAGGCGAAACUGCCGUGCUGGAGUGUGGGAGAGGUGCGUGGAAUUCCUGGUGUAGCGGUGAAAUGCGUAGAUAUCAGGAGGAACACCUGUGGCGAAAGCGGCGCACUGGACCACAACUGACGCUGAGGCGCGAAAGCUAGGGGAGCAAACAGG
RNAcentral lists this ribosomal RNA (253 nucleotides) under uncultured bacterium. RNAcentral's name for it is "partial 16S ribosomal RNA". It matches the Rfam family "Bacterial small subunit ribosomal RNA", at positions 524 to 776 of the family's 1533-position model. The record is from RNAcentral.